UACGUAGGUGGCGAGCGUUGUCCGGAUUUACUGGGCGUAAAGGGAGCGUAGGCAGACUUUUAAGUGAGAUGUGAAAUACCCGGGCUCAACCUGAGUGCUGCAUUUCAAACUAGAAGUCUAGAGUGCAGGAGAAGAAAGUGGAAUUCCUAGUGUAGCGGUGAAAUGCGUAGAGAUUAGGAAGAACACCAGUGGCGAAGGCGACUCUCUGGACUGUAACUGACGCUGAGGCUCGAAAGCGUGGGGAGCAAACAGG
RNAcentral lists this ribosomal RNA (253 nucleotides) under uncultured bacterium. Its description in RNAcentral is "partial 16S ribosomal RNA". It matches the Rfam family "Bacterial small subunit ribosomal RNA", at positions 524 to 776 of the family's 1533-position model. The record is from RNAcentral.